AAUAGAUACCCGGGUAGUCCACGCCCUAAACGAUGUCAACUGGUUGUUGGGGGAGGAAACUUUCUUAGUAACGAAGCUAACGCGUGAAGUUGACCGCCUGGGGAGUACGGCCGCAAGGUUAAAACUCAAAGGAAUUGACGGGGACCCGCACAAGCGGUGGAUGAUGUGGAUUAAUUCGAUGCAACGCGAAGAACCUUACCUACCCUUGACAUGCCAGGGAGCCGGAUGAGAGUUCGGUGUGCCCGAAAGGGAGCCUGGACACAGGUGCUGCAUGGCUGUCGUCAGCUCGUGUCGUGAGAUGUUGGGUUAAGUCCCGCAACGAGCGCAACCCUUGUCACUAGUUGCUACGGAUAGGGCACUCUAGUGAGACUGCCGGUGACAAACCGGAGGAAGGUGGGGAUGACGUCAAGUCCUCAUGGCCCUUAUGGGUAGGGCCUCACACGUCAUACAAUGGCGCAUACAGAGGGUAGCCAACCCGGCGAGGGGGAGCCAAUCUCAGAAAGUGCGUCGUAGUCCGGAUUGUUCUCUGCAACUCGAG
RNAcentral lists this ribosomal RNA (538 nucleotides) under uncultured bacterium. RNAcentral describes it as "bacterial SSU rRNA". It matches the Rfam family "Bacterial small subunit ribosomal RNA", at positions 777 to 1316 of the family's 1533-position model. The record is from RNAcentral.